GACAACGUGGCCGAGUGGUUAAGGCGACAGACUCGAAUUUUCAGUUCUUGCUAUCUGUUGGGUUCGCCCGCAUAGGUUCAAAUCCUGUCGUUGUCG
This is a non-coding RNA of Morchella snyderi, 96 nucleotides long. Lineage: Eukaryota; Fungi; Ascomycota; Pezizomycetes; Pezizales; Morchellaceae. The record is from the annotation of a GenBank genome assembly.